AUACCAGGGGUGUUUUGCAUCAGGCGACAGUGGAUUUUCCGAAGCACUGCUGCAACACAUUGAAUAAUGGGAUCUAAGUGGAUUUACCACUAGCUGUAUACCUUGGACAGACACAAACCAUUUUAUCAGUCACUGGGAAAACACUUCACUUUGACUUUAUCAAUGUCACGGAAGAAGCUUAUCGGCGUGGAGGUGAGAGACCCUGUGGUGGCGUAAGAAUACAUGUGUUGCAAUCCUAGCUGUCUGUUGCAAAACGCCCGAGAAGAUCGUCACAUUGAUCGUUCCCUGUUAAAUAGGACGAUAGGACUCAGAGCGUGAAAAAGGACUACCUCAACCUCAAGAUUUGUUAUCGCUGCAAUAGUCCAAGAUGGCUGCCAUAAGAAGUUUGUUGGCUGUGGUAUCGAUCUUCCUCAUGAUAAACAGUGUUGAGAUGAAGACUGAAACCUGCUGGGCCAACGACCAGUGCGGGUCAUGCUCCUCGGCACAGCCGAAUGUCUUUGGUGUGGGCACAGUUUGCUGUCCGGGGUGUGCCCCCGGCGUUCUGCAGAUGGUUGAAGGCAGAUCGUGCACGUGCGACGUUUCCGUUGCAGGUCCUCCUCUGAGAGUGUCAGUCUUUGCGUCCGCAAUCACACUGACCCUGUCCAUCUGCCUGAAACAUCUCCUGCACUGAAACCUGUUCUUUCUGACACUGUCAGUCUGUGUUAUACAUUUGCUUAUAUAUACCCCGUCCUCUGAAACUGUCCAUCUGUCUGCAACAUCUCCCAUAAUGAAGCUUGGUAUUGAUGACAUUCUUAAUUUGCCUGAAACAUGUCCUACAAUGAAGCUUGGUAUUGAUGACAUUCUCCAUCUGUCUGCAACAUCUCCCAUAAUGAAGCUUGGUAUUGAUGACAUUCUUAAUUUGCCUGAAACAUGUCCUACAAUGAAGCUUGGAAUUGCUGACAUUCUCCAUCUGCCUCAAAGAUCUCCCACAAUGAAGCAAGACCCUUCUUACACUGUCCAUUGAUGCAUCUCCUACAUAUAUAUCUUGUCCAUGACAACCUGUGCUAUUAACUCUGUGUUAAUACAAUAUAAAUCUAGACCAUAAUUUGGUCUUUGUGCUUGCUGUUCAAGAAGCCAUAUGCCUAGCAUGAAGAUGCACCAUAUGAAGACGUCAUAACGGUCAUGACAAGCAUCUGAAGUGUGUUAUAUUUAACAUCUGUUUCAGUUUUCUAUGGACAUUCCCUUUGCGUAUGGAAAAUGUAUAAAAAUGUUCCUUUUUCUAUAAA
Haliotis rubra (blacklip abalone) is the source of this 1265-nucleotide long non-coding RNA. RefSeq lists it as uncharacterized. The transcript has 3 exons. Lineage: Eukaryota; Metazoa; Mollusca; Gastropoda; Lepetellida; Haliotidae. The record is from RefSeq and is a predicted model, not a curated record.